AGUAUGAAAUGUAAAAACUAAAUUGGACUUGAAGCCCCAGCGUAAAUACAUUAUUUCUCAGUAAACCUACUCCUCAGGUCGUACCUCAUUUCAUAGAAAUUA
Molecule: non-coding RNA, 102 nt
Filed under: Staphylococcus epidermidis
Lineage: Bacteria; Bacillati; Bacillota; Bacilli; Caryophanales; Staphylococcaceae
Also listed under: 1 other name
Description: Azaaromatic sequence
Rfam family: azaaromatic riboswitch aptamer (yjdF RNA)
Source: RNAcentral